This 116-nucleotide ribosomal RNA is filed under the name uncultured bacterium HF0500_06B09. The record is from RNAcentral. RNAcentral also lists the same sequence under 1 other name.
CCUGGUGACCAUAGCGGAGGGGUUCCACCCGUUCCCAUCCCGAACACGGAAGUUAAGCCCUCCAGCGCCGAUGGUACUGCCCCAUUUACGGGCGGGAGAGUAGGUCGUCGCCAGGC